Molecule: ribosomal RNA, 215 nt
Filed under: Morganella morganii
Lineage: Bacteria; Pseudomonadati; Pseudomonadota; Gammaproteobacteria; Enterobacterales; Morganellaceae
Description: partial 23S ribosomal RNA
Rfam family: Bacterial large subunit ribosomal RNA
Source: RNAcentral
AAUCAGCAUCAGUGUUAAGAGAACAGUCUGGAAAGGCUGGCCACAGCAGGUGAUAGCCCUGUAUCUGAAAGCACUGGUGUUGUGAGUCCGAUGAGUAAGGCGGGACACGUGUUAUCCUGUCUGAAUAUGGGGGGACCAUCCUCCAAGGCUAAAUACUCCUGACUGACCGAUAGUGAACCAGUACCGUGAGGGAAAGGCGAAAAGAACCCCGGCGA